UACGGAGGGUGCGAGCGUUGUUCGGAAUUAUUGGGCGUAAAGCGCGUGUAGGCGGUUUUAUAAGUCUGAUGCGAAAGCCCCGGGCUCAACCUGGGAAGUGCAUUGGAUACUGUAAGACUUGAGUACGAGAGAGGGCAGUGGAAUUCCUAGUGUAGGAGUGAAAUCCGUAGAUAUUAGGAGGAACACCGAUGGCGAAGGCGGCUGCCUGGACCGAUACUGACGCUGAGACGCGAAAGCGUGGGUAGCAAACAGG
This 253-nucleotide ribosomal RNA is filed under the name uncultured bacterium. Its description in RNAcentral is "partial 16S ribosomal RNA". It matches the Rfam family "Bacterial small subunit ribosomal RNA", at positions 524 to 776 of the family's 1533-position model. The record is from RNAcentral.